AGGACGAACGCUGGCGGCGUGCCUAACACAUGCAAGUCGAACGGGACCAGGGGCAACUCUGGUUCAGUGGCGGACGGGUGCGUAACACGUGAGGAACAUGACCUUCGGCGGGGGGAUAGCCGGCCCAACGGCCGGGUAAUACCGCGUACGACCACAUGGGGACAUCCCUGAGUGGUGAAAGCAGCAAUGCGCCGAUGGAGUGCCUCGCGGCCUAUCAGCUAGUUGGUGAGGUAACGGCUCACCAAGGCAACGACGGGUAGCUGGUCUGAGAGGAUGGCCAGCCACAUUGGGACUGAGACACGGCCCAGACUCCUACGGGAGCAGCAGUUAGAAUUUGCGCAAUGGAGGAACU
Molecule: ribosomal RNA, 352 nt
Filed under: uncultured soil bacterium
Lineage: Bacteria
Description: bacterial SSU rRNA
Rfam family: Bacterial small subunit ribosomal RNA
Source: RNAcentral